RNAcentral lists this ribosomal RNA (483 nucleotides) under uncultured bacterium. Its description in RNAcentral is "partial 16S ribosomal RNA". It matches the Rfam family "Bacterial small subunit ribosomal RNA", at positions 28 to 522 of the family's 1533-position model. The record is from RNAcentral.
GACGAACGCUGGCGGCGUGCUUAACACAUGCAAGUCGAACGAUGAAGCCGGAGCUUGCUCUGGUGAAUUAGUGGCGAACGGGUGAGUAACACGUGAGUAACCUGCCCUUGACUCUGGGAUAACUGCGGGAAACUGUAGCUAAUACCGGAUACGACCCUCGGAGGCAUCUCCUGGGGGUGGAAAGAAUUUCGGUCAAGGAUGGACUCGCGGCCUAUCAGCUAGUUGGUGAGGUAAAGGCUCACCAAGGCGACGACGGGUAGCCGGCCUGAGAGGGCGACCCGCCACACUGGGACUGAGACACGGCCCAGACUCCUACGGGAGGCAGCAGUGGGGAAUAUUGCACAAUGGGCGAAAGCCUGAUGCAGCGACGCCGCGUGAGGGAUGAAGGUCUUCGGAUUGUAAACCUCUUUCAGUAGGGACGAAGCGAAAGUGACGGUACCUAAAGAAGAAGCACCGGCUAACUACGUGCCAGCCGCCGCCUAA